RNAcentral lists this ribosomal RNA (284 nucleotides) under uncultured prokaryote. RNAcentral's name for it is "partial 16S ribosomal RNA". It matches the Rfam family "Bacterial small subunit ribosomal RNA", at positions 524 to 812 of the family's 1533-position model. The record is from RNAcentral.
UACGUAGGGGGCUAGCGUUAUCCGGAUUUACUGGGCGUAAAGGGUGCGUAGGUGGUUUCUUAAGUCAGGAGUGAAAGGCUACGGCUUAACCGUAGUAAGCUCUUGAAACUGGGAAACUUGAGUGCAGGAGAGGAAAGUGGAAUUCCUAGUGUAGCGGUAAUAUGCGUAGAUAUUGGGAGGACACCGGUGGCGAAGGCGGCUUGCUGGGCUGUAACUGACGCUGAGGCACGAAAGUGUGGGGAGCAAACAGGAUUAGAUACCCGCGUAGUCCCUGAGCGGGCUGG